UACAGUGGGGGCAAGCGUUGUUCGGAAUUACUGGGCGUAAAGGGCUCGUAGGCGGCCAACUAAGUCCGACGUGAAAUCCCAAAGCUUAACUUUGGAACUGCGUCGGAUACUGGAUGGCUUGAAUUCGGGAGAGGGAUGCAGAAUUCCAGGUGUAGCGGUGAAAUGCGUAGAUAUCUGGAGGAAUACCGGUGGCGAAGGCGGCAUCCUGGACCGACAUUGACGCUGAGGAGCGAAAGCUAGGGGAGCAAACGGG
This 253-nucleotide ribosomal RNA is filed under the name uncultured bacterium. Its description in RNAcentral is "partial 16S ribosomal RNA". It matches the Rfam family "Bacterial small subunit ribosomal RNA", at positions 524 to 776 of the family's 1533-position model. The record is from RNAcentral.